UUUUGUACUUUUUUGCUUUUAUAAAAAAUAACUUCAUUAUCAAUUUAAAAAUCCCUCCACACUCGUAGAAGAGAGGAGGGAUAAGAGAUGCUAGUGGUAUAGAUAAGAAAACACACAUUUCUUUGUUAACACUUAACUAGAUACAACUUUCAAACACAAAAUUAUCAAUAUUCAUAAUGAUAUUGAUUAAUAAGGACGUAAGAGAGGAGUGUGUGCAUGGUGGGCUUGGAAACUACUUGAGAUAUAAGACCAAACACUAAUAAAGGUAUAACCCCACUUUUUCUCACAAACUAUAAUAUAUAAAAUUUAAUAAUUGUAUAUAUGGUUUUGUAGUCUAAA
RNAcentral lists this long non-coding RNA (339 nucleotides) under Trifolium pratense (red clover). RNAcentral describes it as "long non-coding RNA (TPRA_LNC001496)". The record is from RNAcentral. Lineage: Eukaryota; Viridiplantae; Streptophyta; Magnoliopsida; Fabales; Fabaceae.